Long non-coding RNA from Panicum virgatum (switchgrass), 1399 nucleotides. RefSeq lists it as uncharacterized. The transcript is spliced from 4 exons. Lineage: Eukaryota; Viridiplantae; Streptophyta; Magnoliopsida; Poales; Poaceae. The record is from RefSeq and is a predicted model, not a curated record.
GUCCUGGGGAGCUCUGCAGCAGGAUGGUGAGGAAGCCAUAAUCGGAAUGGGGAGCCAAUCCAACCUUGUCACCUUGAUGUGAAAAAUGUGGGUAGUUGUUCAAGGCAAGGAACUGCACGCCAUUCUCAAGUUUUUCUUGCAGGUUACCUAUACAUUGGCGGUUGCAUUGGCCAGUACUGUAUCCAGUCUUCCAGAGGGUUGGCGUAGUGCUUCAGGAAUGACCUGGCUUUGCUGAUCCCAUCCCUCGAACUCGUGUCAUACCUGAUAGGCCGUCGGAUGUCGGUCGAUGCGAACAACUCUUUGUACUCCGGUGAAGUUUCAAAGAACUCCGAGGCGGCUUCAAGGGCGCCAUUCAUGACGGAUUUGCCGACACUGUGGUUUACCACCUGGCAGCAUUAGUACAGAGGGUGGUGAGUUCAAAGCUCAUUGUCAGCGGAAGAAGCAAGUGUCGAAGAAUAAGGAGCAGCAAGAAAGCAGCAGACAGUAACCUGGAAGCAUCCCUGCUCUCGGCACGCCCGCGCAAUGUCCUGGAUGGCAAGCGCCCGCAUGGCCGGGUCCUUGCUGAGCCUGCCGAGGUCGAUCACUGGCAGUGGCCGCGACGGCGGCAGCGGCGGCAGCUGCCCAACCUGGCUUGCCAUGGAUGCUGGCGGAUGCAGUGAAGCCGGUGUUGCAUGCCAGGAACUGUAUUUAUAGGCGCCCUGGCCGGAUCUCGGGGACGAAAAGCAGGAGCUGAUACGGAGAGGUACUGCUGCCGGCCACUGUGCAAACCUUCCUUUUUUUUAUCGGCAUCUAAGCCUGGGUAAAUACCUUGUACGAAGACUUUUGAGCGCACUGGAAGAUACUAAGGUUUUCCAAAAGAUUGGGUCCAGGAGCAGGCCGCGUGCGUCCAGAUGAACAAAGAUCUUCCCCCCAGAGAUCAGAGGCAGAUCGCUUGGGUUCCUUUCGCUUGGCUUGGACAGUGGCCAUUUUUCUGUUGUUCCCUCGCCAAGUUGCGCCGGGCACAUACAUCCCUCUUGCUCGGGAAAUUCGCGUGGCUGAUGCGGACCGGACCCCGGAUAAUGCUUCAUUGUUUUUUGCCGCGGGGUUGCGGCGGUGGACGCCGAAUCCACGGCAAGUUGGGGCGCCAGCCCGGUCUGGGGGUGGAGAGGUUUCCGGUUUCGGCUGCUGCCUUGAUGGAUGCUGACAAAAGGGCUCUUCUGGUUCGGGGACACAGCCCAGGCCUUUUGUCAGAUCAGAGGCGGCACAUUUCUGUGUGACUGCCUGACUGGAGAUCUUUUUGGGCGUGUGGCACGCGCCUCUUGUCGCACGAGUCAGUUGGCAACUUGGCAUCGUUUUUUUUUUGGUAUAUAAGAAAAGAACUUGGCAUUUUUUUUGUUAAUAAGAAAAGAACUUGGCACUA